UACGUAGGGUGCGAGCGUUGUCCGGAAUUAUUGGGCGUAAAGAGCUCGUAGGCGGUGUGUCGCGUCGGUCGUGAAAACUUGGGGCUUAACCCUGAGCUUGCGGUCGAUACGGGCAUCACUUGAGUUCGGCAGGGGAGACUGGAAUUCCUGGUGUAGCGGUGAAAUGCGCAGAUAUCAGGAGGAACACCGAUGGCGAAGGCAGGUCUCUGGGCAUUAACUGACGCUGAGGAGCGAAAGCAUGGGGAGCGAACAGG
RNAcentral lists this ribosomal RNA (254 nucleotides) under uncultured bacterium. Its description in RNAcentral is "partial 16S ribosomal RNA". It matches the Rfam family "Bacterial small subunit ribosomal RNA", at positions 524 to 776 of the family's 1533-position model. The record is from RNAcentral.